CUAACCCAAGAAGGCGAUUGUGAUGAAAGGUCUUCUUCGUCGUAUAUCAGUGUGGCCAGGGGUUUAUAAUUUACAGUAGUCGUAAAGAAACGCCGGCUAACUCCGUGCCAAACAGCCGGGGGGUACGAAGGUUAAAGCGGGGCGCAUAAGGAAUUAAUGGGUGUGAAGGUUACGUAGGCGGAUCAGAAAGUUGGGGGUGAAAUCCCAGGGCUCAACCCUGGAACUGCCUCCUAAACUAGUGGUCGGGGGUUCGAGAGAGGUGAGUGGAAUUGAAAGUGUAGAGGUGAAAUUCGUAGAUAUUUGGAGGAACACCAGUGGCGAAGGCGGCUCACUGGCUGGAUACUGACGCUGGGGUACGAAAGUGUGGGGUGCAAACAGGAUUAGAUACCUUGGUAGUCCACACCGUAAACGAUGAAUUCCAGUCGUCGGGCAGCAUACUGUUUUCUUACCCACCUCACGGCUUGAGCAUUCCGCCUGGGGCCUCCGGCCCCUUUAUUCCACCUCAAAUGACCCGACGGAAGGGGGAAUUGGCGGCCGCCAAAUUCAAUCGCCCUAUAGGAGUA
RNAcentral lists this ribosomal RNA (563 nucleotides) under uncultured bacterium. RNAcentral's name for it is "bacterial SSU rRNA". It matches the Rfam family "Bacterial small subunit ribosomal RNA", at positions 401 to 1230 of the family's 1533-position model. The record is from RNAcentral.